GAUGAACGCUGGCGGCGUGCCUAAUACAUGCAAGUCGAGCGAACAGACGAGGAGCUUGCUCCUCUGACGUUAGCGGCGGACGGGUGAGUAACACGUGGAUAACCUACCUAUAAGACUGGGAUAACUUCGGGAAACCGGAGCUGAUACCGGAUAAUAUAUUGAACCGCAUGGUUCAAUAGUGAAAGACGGUUUUGCUGUCACUUAUAGAUGGAUCCGCGCCGCAUUAGCUAGUUGGUAAGGUAACGGCUUACCAAGGCAACGAUGCGUAGCCGACCUGAGAGGGUGAUCGGCCACACUGGAACUGAGACACGGUCCAGACUCCUACGGGAGGCAGCAGUAGGGAAUCUUCCGCAAAGGGCGAAAGCUUGACGGAGCAACGCCGCGUGAGUGAUGAAGGUCUUCGGAUCGUAAAACUCUGUUAUUAGGGAAGAACAAAUGUGUAAGUAACUAUGCACGUCUUGACGGUACCUAAUCAGAAAGCCACGGCUAACUACGUG
RNAcentral lists this ribosomal RNA (497 nucleotides) under uncultured bacterium. Its description in RNAcentral is "partial 16S ribosomal RNA". It matches the Rfam family "Bacterial small subunit ribosomal RNA", at positions 28 to 507 of the family's 1533-position model. The record is from RNAcentral.